This 594-nucleotide ribosomal RNA is filed under the name uncultured marine eukaryote. RNAcentral describes it as "SSU rRNA". It matches the Rfam family "Eukaryotic small subunit ribosomal RNA", at positions 1 to 598 of the family's 1831-position model. The record is from RNAcentral.
AACCUGGUUGAUGCCUGCCAGUAGUCAUAUGCGUUGUCUCAAAGAUUAAGCCAUGCAUGUCUAAGUACAAGCCUGAAUAAGGUGAAACCGCGAAUGGCUCAUUAAAUCACACCUAAUGUACCUGGAAGUUCCAUUACUUGGAUAACUGCGGUAAUUCUGGAGCUAAUACAUGCUAAAGAGCCCUGACUCACGGAGGGGCGCAUUUAUUAGAUCAAAACCAAACGCUUCGGCGUUCAUUGGUGAAUCUGAAUAACUUUUGCUGAUCGUAUGGCUCAACGCCGACGACGUUCCAGUCCAAGGUGUGCCCUAUCAACUUUCGACUGUGAUAUAGACGCUCACAGUGGUUUUGACGGGUAACGGGGAAUUAGGGUUCGAUUCCGGAGAGGGAGCCUGAGAAACGGCUACCACUUCUAAGGAAGGCAGCAGGCACGCAAAUUACCCAAUGGUCGAAGACCGAGGUAGUGACGAAAAAUAACGAUACCGGUCUCUUCCGAGGCCCGGUAAUCGGAAUGAGUACACUUUAAAUCCUUUAACGAGGAACAAUUGGAGGGCAAGUCUGGUGCCAGCAGCCGCGGUAAUUCCAGCUCCAAUAGC